Long non-coding RNA from Armigeres subalbatus, 861 nucleotides. RefSeq lists it as uncharacterized. Lineage: Eukaryota; Metazoa; Arthropoda; Insecta; Diptera; Culicidae. The transcript is spliced from 3 exons. The record is from RefSeq and is a predicted model, not a curated record.
GCAUGGAAGGAUGUCUAAAAGCGAACAGGAAUCUACCUCGAAAAGACGCAAACCACCUUAGUCAAGAUUCAUUUAUACUCGGGCCCGUAUAAUGGUUCAUUCGGCUAUUUACAAUUGUGUGUGUAUCUACCGGUGCACUCGUCGAAGCGGUUCAAAUGCCACGCGCCAUCUUUUUUCACUUUUAUCAUUCGCUUCGCACGCGCACCGUACAUCUUCGAAGUUUUACAUUUUGGUAGUUUUCCAUUUUGUUUCUUGUUUGACAGAUACGUAUUUCGACCUCAACGCUGAUCUUCGUUGUGAUGAACCAGGGCAAGGGAAGCAAAACCCUUGGGACGAUACUUAAGGCAAGAAACUCCAGCAGAUUAUCGUUGAGAUAACCCCCAUCCUCCGUUCACUGGGCGGGUAGUGAAACCCGGGGGCAAUACUAAAAAUUCGCAUUUGGGACACACUACGUCAGCAUAUUAUGGUGCAACUCCGGGAGGAAAAUACCAUGCAGUCAUCAAAACCGAUGCGAACACUCGAUCGUGACCCAAGCGACAGUGCAAUAGAGAUAAUCACAUCGGUUUCAAAACAUCGGGAUGGGAAGACAUCCUCCAGCGCAACCCCAUCGAUGAAGACGGCAACUCCGCAUCUCAUACCAUUCUGGCCAAUAGGGGCACCACCUCUCUUCUGACAUCAGGCGAUAUCAGCUGGAAACACCCGCCGUUGGGAAAAAGAAACCAACGAACGGAACCUAUAACCGACUGCAUUGUGGCAAAUCAAGGAACAUUCCAUGGAACGAUGCACAUGUCCAGUUUUUCCCAAGCCGAUUAACUCUUUUUAUGUACCAUGGUUGGAUAUUCCUAAUAAAUAUUAUUGGUU